Molecule: ribosomal RNA, 475 nt
Filed under: uncultured bacterium
Lineage: Bacteria
Description: bacterial SSU rRNA
Rfam family: Bacterial small subunit ribosomal RNA
Source: RNAcentral
GAUGAACGCUGGCGGCGUGCCUCAAACAUGCAAGUCGAGCGGGGCUAUGUAAUAUCGCAAGGUAGAACAUAGCCUAGCGGCGAACGGGUGAGUAACACGUGGGUAACCUGCCUGGAAGACAGGGAUAACGAUUCGAAAGGGUCGCUAAUACCUGAUAAUAUCCUUUCAUCGCAUGGUGAUAGGAAGAAAGGGGAAACCCGCUUUCAGAUGGGCCCGCGUCCCAUCAGCUAAUUGGUAAGGUAAAGGCUUACCAAGGCGACGACGGGUAGCCGGUCUGAGAGGAUGUACGGCCACACUGGGACUGAGAUACGGCCCAGACUCCUACGGGAGGCAGCAGUUGGGAAUCUUAGGCAAUGGACGAAAGUCUGACCUAGCGACGCCGCGUGAGGGAAGAAGGCCUUCGGGUUGUAAACCUCUGUCAUGGGGGAAGAAGUAAGUGACGGUACCCCAAGAGGAAGCCCCUGCUAACUACGUG